UGGGGAAUAUUGGACAAUGGGGGAAACCCUGAUCCAGCAAUGCCGCGUGAGUGAAGAAGGCCUUAGGGUUGUAAAGCUCUUUCGCCCGCGAAGAUAAUGACGGUAGCGGGAGAAGAAGCCCCGGCUAACUCCGUGCCAGCAGCCGCGGUAAUACGGAGGGGGCUAGCGUUGUUCGGAAUUACUGGGCGUAAAGCGUACGUAGGCGGAUGCGCAAGUUGGGGGUGAAAUCCCGGGGCUUAACCUCGGAAUUGCCCUCAAAACUGCACGUCUUGAGACCGAGAGAGGUAAGGGGAAUUCCUAGUGUAGAGGUGAAAUUCGUAGAUAUUAGGAAGAACACCAGUGGCGAAGGCGCAUUACUGGCUCGGUACUGACGCUGAGGUACGAAAGCGUGGGGAGCAAACA
This 402-nucleotide ribosomal RNA is filed under the name uncultured bacterium. Its description in RNAcentral is "bacterial SSU rRNA". It matches the Rfam family "Bacterial small subunit ribosomal RNA", at positions 355 to 774 of the family's 1533-position model. The record is from RNAcentral.